This 2074-nucleotide small RNA is filed under the name Pongo abelii (Sumatran orangutan). RNAcentral's name for it is "retained intron". The record is from RNAcentral. Lineage: Eukaryota; Metazoa; Chordata; Mammalia; Primates; Hominidae.
GAGAGCUACUUGCGCUGGCUGAGGGAACAACAGGUCCAGGUGGGCAGCGCUAUCCGGUGCCUACCUUUCUGUGGCGCCGGAAUCGGCUCGUCUGCAACCGUCCGCUUUGGUAGCUGCCAGCCACAUGGGGCUGUUGCUAGUGUGGCUGGUGUAGCUGAAGAGCUGAACGUUUUGAUUAAUUAAUUAAGUGGUUAUAUGUUGCCAGCAGCUCCCAUCUGGGCUGUGACUGCGUGGUCUGUGGACCUCACUCUGGCACCAAACUGAGCGGAGCUGCACGUGGCCACCAGACAGUGUGGAGUGCCUCUUUGGGUUGCGUAGAAAUAGGAAAUGGGUCACCAAAAUAGGAGCUGUUGCUGCUGUGUUCUCUAGCACACCUGCCUUGUUUGUACUGCUCAGCGUGGAAUGCCUCUUGGGCUCCAACAGUGUCACUGACACUGUUGCUGAUCUCCUUGGAUUCACCUGGUCCAUUUGGAUCAAGUUAUUUCACCUGUUCACAUGAGCAGAUACCACGUUAAAACCUUAAAGGUUGGCUUAACAUUUCUUGCCCUUUUUUUUUCUUUCUUUUAGUCUCUGCGAUAUGAUACCAGCUAUUUUGUGGAGUAUUUUGCCUUGGAUCUCCUGAUGGAGAAUGGGGAGUGCCGUGGUGUCAUCGCACUGUGCAUAGAGGACGGCUCCAUCCAUCGCAUAAGAGCAAAGAACACUGUUGUUGCCACAGGAGGCUACGGGCGCACCUACUUCAGCUGCACGUCUGCCCACACCAGCACUGGCGAUGGCACGGCCAUGAUCACCAGGGCAGGCCUCCCUUGCCAGGACCUAGAGUUUGUUCAGUUCCACCCCACAGGCAUAUAUGGUGCUGGUUGUCUCAUUACGGAAGGAUGUCGUGGAGAGGGAGGCAUUCUCAUUAACAGUCAAGGUGAAAGGUUUAUGGAGCGAUACGCCCCCGUCGCGAAGGACCUGGCGUCUAGAGAUGUGGUGUCUCGUUCGAUGACUCUGGAGAUCCGAGAAGGAAGAGGCUGUGGCCCUGAGAAAGAUCAUGUCUACCUGCAGCUGCACCACCUACCUCCAGAGCAGCUGGCCACACGCCUGCCUGGCAUUUCAGAGACAGCCAUGAUCUUCGCUGGCGUGGAUGUCACGAAGGAGCCGAUCCCUGUCCUCCCCACCGUGCAUUAUAACAUGGGCGGCAUUCCCACCAACUACAAGGGGCAGGUCCUGAGGCACGUGAAUGGCCAGGAUCAGAUUGUGCCCGGCCUGUACGCCUGUGGGGAGGCCGCCUGUGCCUCGGUACAUGGUGCCAACCGCCUCGGGGCAAACUCGCUCUUGGACCUGGUUGUCUUUGGUCGGGCAUGUGCCCUGAGCAUUGAAGAGUCAUGCAGACCUGUCAAUGCAAAAUCAUGCUGCCGUGUUCCGUGUGGGAAGCGUGUUGCAGGAAGGUUGUGGGAAAAUCAGCAAGCUCUAUGGAGACCUAAAGCACCUGAAGACGUUCGACCGGGGAAUGGUCUGGAACACGGACCUGGUGGAGACCCUGGAGCUGCAGAACCUGAUGCUGUGUGCGCUGCAGACCAUCUAUGGAGCAGAGGCGCGGAAGGAGUCACGGGGUGCGCACGCCAGGGAAGACUACAAGGUGCGGAUUGAUGAGUACGAUUACUCCAAGCCCAUCCAGGGGCAACAGAAGAAGCCCUUUGAGGAGCACUGGAGGAAGCACACCCUGUCCUAUGUGGACGUCAGCACUGGGAAGGUCACCCUGGAAUAUAGACCCGUAAUCGACAAAACUUUGAACGAGGCUGACUGUGCCACCGUCCCCCCAGCCAUUCGCUCCUACUGAUGAGACAAGAUGCGGUGAUGACAGAAUCAGCUUUUGUAAUUAUGUAUAAUAGCUCAUGCAUGUGUCCGUGUCAUAACUGUCUUCAUACGCUUCUGCACUCCGGGGAAGGAGGAGUACAUUGAAGGGAGAUUGGCACCCAGGCUGGGAGCUUGCCAGGAACCCAGUGGCCAGGGAGUGUGGCACUUACCUUUGUCCCUUGCUUCAUUCUUGUGAGAUGAUAAAAUUGGGCGCAGCUCUUAAAUAUAAAUGAAC